RNAcentral lists this ribosomal RNA (373 nucleotides) under uncultured bacterium. RNAcentral's name for it is "bacterial SSU rRNA". It matches the Rfam family "Bacterial small subunit ribosomal RNA", at positions 28 to 404 of the family's 1533-position model. The record is from RNAcentral.
GACGAACGCUGGCGGCGUGCUUAACACAUGCAAGUCGAGCGGUAAGGCCCUUUCGGGGGUACACGAGCGGCGAACGGGUGAGUAACACGUGGGUAACCUGCCCUCAGCUCUGGGAUAAGCCCGGGAAACUGGGUCUAAUACCGGAUAUGACCUCGUAUCGCAUGGUGCGGGGUGAAAGUGUUCAGUGGCUGAGGAUGGGCCCGCGGCCUAUCAGCUUGUUGGUGGGGUAGUGGCCUACCAAGGCGACGACGGGUAGCCGGCCUGAGAGGGCGACCGGCCACACUGGGACUGAGACACGGCCCAGACUCCUACGGGAGGCAGCAGUGGGAAUCUUGCGCAAUGGGCGAAAGCCUGACGCAGCGACGCCGCGUGA